CACAAAAAAAAAAAAUCAGUUCCCGCUUCUCUCCUCCUUCCCCUUCUCUGGUUUUCUUUUCCCUAAAAAUGAACAUUUUUUUUUCCAUUUUCCCUCUUCUCCCCCUUGCUCUGGUUCCCUGGUUUCUAACACAUCCUCUGCCAGAUACAAUCCUCCAAAAUCCACACUUUUCAUCUUAGUUUCUAAGGAAGACUGUCAUGUAAUGCAACCCUAGAUUUCUCUGGUUCUAUGGUGUCCUGGAUUCGUCAAAUUUGCCGACGUAAUCCGGAAGUAAUUGAGUUUUCGCAGUGAUGUCGAUGCUCUGAGGGACAAAUUACCAGAUUGUAUGUUAGGCAACCUUAAGAGGCUAGAGAAAGAUGACUUGAAGCUGAUUGACUACGAUUGUGAAAUCGAGUGGAUAGAACACACUUGAUUGUGAAAUCGAGUGGAUAAAACAUGCUUAAAUUUGGCAAUAUCCCGUAUCAAAUUGCUGCAAAAUAGGAGAGAUUCUCAGCCCAAUCAGAUGCGAUAGGAGAUAGCUCAGUUUUUGCGGAUUUUAACUCAUGUAUAGGGAGUAUAAGGCUUCAGAGUAAAGAUAUAUUGAUGAUUUUCUAUCUUUCCCAGGAAAAUGUUGCCAGCUCAUCAGGAACUAAUUUGAGAUCUUCCUACAUUGAAAUGAGAUCUUCCUAAAACUGUUUCACCUGUUACUAAUCAACCUAGAAUGUAAGAUGCAGGCACUCUGGUGAUUCAGAUGAUGAUAAAGGCAAUGUCUUGGUAUGUGAUAUUGUGACUGUGGCCCGGAUCAAUAAUGCGACUCUUGUGAUCCCUGAACUUGACAAGAGGUUAUUUUGGCAAGACUCAAGGUAUUCAAUAAUCCGAGGGAGCGACCUUUCACUUUUGAGGAGAUAGUUGAAGUUCGAGAAAUGGUUGCAAACUUCAUUACCAGUGAUUGUCUUUGAUAUUUUUUUGUACUGAAUCUUAAAUUAUGGAUGCUAGCUAUUUUUUCAUAUGAUUGUAAUGUAAUCGACUUUUAUAUUUACAAUUAUAUACUAUUUAAUUUAAUUAUCUAUAUAAUUGGAUACUUUUUAUA
Long non-coding RNA from Spinacia oleracea (spinach), 1069 nucleotides. RefSeq lists it as uncharacterized. The record is from RefSeq and is a predicted model, not a curated record. The transcript is spliced from 5 exons. NCBI's taxonomy places the organism in Eukaryota, Viridiplantae, Streptophyta, Magnoliopsida, Caryophyllales, Amaranthaceae.